GACGAACGCUGGCGGCGUGCUUAACACAUGCAAGUCGAACGGAAAGGCCCUGCUUUUGUGGGGUGCUCGAGUGGCGAACGGGUGAGUAACACGUGAGUAACCUGCCCUUGACUUUGGGAUAACUUCAGGAAACUGGGGCUAAUACCGGAUAGGAGCUCCUGCUGCAUGGUGGGGGUUGGAAAGUUUCGGCGGUUGGGGAUGUACUCGCGGCUUAUCAGCUUGUUGGUGGGGUAGUGGCUUACCAAGGCUUUGACGGGUAGCCGGCCUGAGAGGGUGACCGGCCACAUUGGGACUGAGAUACGGCCCAGACUCCUACGGGAGGCAGCAGUGGGGAAUAUUGCACAAUGGGAGGAAGCCUGAUGCAGCAACGCCGCGUGCGGGAUGACGGCCUUCGGGUUGUAAACCGCUUUCGCCUGUGACGAAGCGUGAGUGACGGUAAUGGGUAAAGAAGCACCGGCUAACUACGUG
This 468-nucleotide ribosomal RNA is filed under the name uncultured bacterium. Its description in RNAcentral is "partial 16S ribosomal RNA". It matches the Rfam family "Bacterial small subunit ribosomal RNA", at positions 28 to 507 of the family's 1533-position model. The record is from RNAcentral.